This 450-nucleotide long non-coding RNA is filed under the name Ananas comosus (pineapple). RNAcentral describes it as "long non-coding RNA (ACOM_LNC018101)". Lineage: Eukaryota; Viridiplantae; Streptophyta; Magnoliopsida; Poales; Bromeliaceae. The record is from RNAcentral.
GAUGUUAAUGAAAAUUUAAUAUCUGACAAAUAUCCGAAAUCGAAUUCGCAUCUAAAGAAAAAUGUGGAUGCAGAUAUGGUUUUGUUAAAAAUCUGAUUGCAUUCGACCGUUUUCACCUCUACUUAUGCCCCACUGCACCUACACCGUACUUGCCUUACUCCACCUAUGUCUUGCACCAUGCCUUAGGCUUCGUUUGGGAUUGCGGGGAGAUUGCAUUACGUGCGAUGAGAAAGUUCGUUGGAAAAAUAAUUUGUUUGUUUCCGUACGUAAUAUUGCGUUCUGCAUAUCGCGAUGAGUCGGUAACGAUAUAUUUUCUGCGGUUCUACCGGAGAACACAGAAGCAUAUCCUUAUAUAUUUUUUCCUCAACUCUAUUUUAUCUGAUAGCGUUAGAUAUGCCUCAAUACCAAACUAAUCCUUACUCUAUUGUGUCUCAUUUCAUUGCCAUAAAU